UACGUAGGGGGCAAGCGUUGUCCGGAUUUAUUGGGCGUAAAGAGCUCGUAGGUGGUUCGGUAAGUCGGAUGUGAAAUCUCCAGGCUCAACCUGGAGGGGUCAUUCGAUACUGCCGUGACUAGAGUUCGGUAGGGGAGUGUGGAAUUCCUGGUGGAGCGGUGAAAUGCGUAGAGAUCGGAAAGAACACCAACGGCGAAAGCACUCUGCUGGGCCGACACUGACACUGAGAGACGAAAGCUAGGGGAGCGAAUGGG
This 254-nucleotide ribosomal RNA is filed under the name uncultured bacterium. RNAcentral's name for it is "partial 16S ribosomal RNA". It matches the Rfam family "Bacterial small subunit ribosomal RNA", at positions 524 to 776 of the family's 1533-position model. The record is from RNAcentral.